RNAcentral lists this ribosomal RNA (325 nucleotides) under uncultured Allapsidae. RNAcentral describes it as "SSU rRNA". The stretch from base 107 to 325 matches the Rfam family "Eukaryotic small subunit ribosomal RNA", at positions 735 to 955 of the family's 1831-position model. Lineage: Eukaryota; Cercozoa; Glissomonadida; Viridiraptoridae. The record is from RNAcentral.
GAUUUCUGAUGCGACCUGCCUGGCCCGCCGUGGUUACACGCGUGAGUGCCGGGUGUUGUCCGUCUGUCUUCCUGUGACUUGCUGCCCUCUUCACUGAGUGGUGGUGUCUAGUUGUAGGAUCUUUUACUUUGAACAAAUUAGAGUGUUUCAAGCAGGCUUCUGCCAUGAAUACAUUAGCAUGGAAUAAUAAGUUAGGACUUCGGUUCUAUUUUGUUGGUUUCUAGGACUGAAGUAAUGAUUGAUAGGGAUAGUUGGGGGUGCUAGUAUUCAGCGGCCAGAGGUGAAAUUCUCGGAUUCGCUGAAGACUAACUUAUGCGAAAGCAUU